GACGAACGCUGGCGGCGUGCCUAAUACAUGCAAGUAGAACGCACAGUUUAUACCGUAGCUUGCUACACCAUAGACUGUGAGUUGCGAACGGGUGAGUAACGCGUAGGUAACCUGCCUGGUAGCGGGGGAUAACUAUUGGAAACGAUAGCUAAUACCGCAUAAUAUUAAUUAUUGCAUGAUAAUUAAUUGAAAGGUGCAAUUGCACCACUACCAGAUGGACCUGCGUUGUAUUAGCUAGUAGGUGAGGUAACGGCUCACCUAGGCGACGAUACAUAGCCGACCUGAGAGGGUGAUCGGCCACACUGGGACUGAGACACGGCCCAGACUCCUACGGGAGGCAGCAGUAGGGAAUCUUCGGCAAUGGACGAAAGUCUGACCGAGCAACGCCGCGUGAGUGAAGAAGGUUUUCGGAUCGUAAAGCUCUGUUGUAAGAGAAGAACGGGUAUGAGAGUGGAAAGUUCACACUGUGACGGUAUCUUACCAGAAAGGGACGGCUAACUACGUG
Molecule: ribosomal RNA, 505 nt
Filed under: uncultured bacterium
Lineage: Bacteria
Description: partial 16S ribosomal RNA
Rfam family: Bacterial small subunit ribosomal RNA
Source: RNAcentral